AGGUGGUUAACAUUCUAGGCUUGUGCUUUUAGAGGGCAUGAUAAAUCUCCAGGAUCCAUUAAUCGGGGUAAUUUCCUAGAAGUGGUAAAACUUUUGGCUUCUUAUAACAAGGAGGUGAAAGAUGUUGUCUUGGAAAAUGCUCCUGGAAACGCAAAGUACACAUCUCAUCAGGUUCAAGAGGAAAUUCUUGGUAUACUUUCUCGAAAGGUGCAAAGAACAAUUAGAGAAGAAAUUGGUGAUAGCAAAUUUUUUAUAAUGGUUGACGAAGCUCGCGACGAAUCCAAGAAAGAGCAAAUGGCAUUGGUCCUUCGAUUUCCCGACACCGAAGGGGUUCAUACAGGAGCGUUUUGUUCAUGUCAUUCAUGUGAAUGA
RNAcentral lists this ribosomal RNA (372 nucleotides) under Triticum aestivum (bread wheat). RNAcentral describes it as "partial small subunit ribosomal RNA". Lineage: Eukaryota; Viridiplantae; Streptophyta; Magnoliopsida; Poales; Poaceae. The record is from RNAcentral.